GACUGCGUACCUUUUGUAUAAUGGGUCAGCGACUUAUAUUCUGUAGCAAGGUUAACCGCAUAGGGGAGCCGGAGGGAAACCGAGUCUUAAUUGGGCGUUAAGUUGCAGGGUAUAGACCCGAAACCCGGUGAUCUAGCCAUGGGCAGGUUGAAGGUUGGGUAACACUAACUGGAGGACCGAACCGACUAAUGUUGAAAAAUUAGCGGAUGACCUGUGGCUGGGGGUGAAAGGCCAAUCAAACCGGGAGAUAGCUGGUUCUCCCCGAAAGCUAUUUAGGUAGCGCCUCGUGAAUUCAUCUCCGGGGGUAGAGCACUGUUUCGGCUAGGGGGCCAUCCCGGCUUACCAACCCGAUGCAAACUGCGAAUACCGGAGAAUGUUAUCACGGGAGACACACGGCGGGUGCUAACGUCCGUCGUGAAGAGGGAAACAACCCAGACCGCCAGCUAAGGUCCCAAAGUCAUGGUUAAGUGGGAAACGAUGUGGGAAGGCCCAGACAGCCAGGAUGUUGGCUUAGAAGCAGCCAUCAUUUAAAGAAAGCGUAAUAGCUCACUGGUCGAGUCGGCCUGCGCGGAAGAUGUAACGGGGCUAAACCAU
RNAcentral lists this ribosomal RNA (594 nucleotides) under Salmonella enterica subsp. enterica serovar Meleagridis. RNAcentral describes it as "partial 23S ribosomal RNA". It matches the Rfam family "Bacterial large subunit ribosomal RNA", at positions 595 to 1190 of the family's 2925-position model. Lineage: Bacteria; Pseudomonadati; Pseudomonadota; Gammaproteobacteria; Enterobacterales; Enterobacteriaceae. The record is from RNAcentral.